GAUGAACGCUGGCGGCGUGCCUAAUACAUGCAAGUCGAGCGAACGGACGAGGAGCUUGCUUUUCUGAUGUUAGCGGCGGACGGGUGAGUCACACGUGGAUAACCUACCUAUCAGACUGGGAUAACUUCGGGACACCGGAGCUAAUACCGGAUAAUAUUUUGAACCGCAUGGUUCAAAAGUGAAAGACGGUCUUGCUGUCACUUCUCGAUGCAUCCGCGCUGCAUUAGCUAGUUGGUAAGGUCACGGCUUACCAAGGCAACGAUGCAUAGCCGACCUGAUAGGGUGAUCGGCCACACUAGAACUGAGACACGGUCCAGACUCCUACGGGAGGCAGCAGUAGGGAAUCUUCCGCAAUGGGCGAAAGCCUGACGGAGCAACGCCGCGUGAGUGAUGAAGGUCUUCGGAUCGUAAAACUCUGUUAUUAGGGAAGAACAUAUGUGUAAGUAACUGUGCACAUCGUGACGGUACCUAAUCAGAAAGCCACGGCUAACUACGUG
RNAcentral lists this ribosomal RNA (497 nucleotides) under uncultured bacterium. Its description in RNAcentral is "partial 16S ribosomal RNA". It matches the Rfam family "Bacterial small subunit ribosomal RNA", at positions 28 to 507 of the family's 1533-position model. The record is from RNAcentral.